Gastrolobium bilobum is the source of this 107-nucleotide small nucleolar RNA. NCBI's taxonomy places the organism in Eukaryota, Viridiplantae, Streptophyta, Magnoliopsida, Fabales, Fabaceae. The record is from RefSeq and is a predicted model, not a curated record.
AACCCAUGAUGAGGACACUUCUUGAGUAGUCCCUUGAACUCUGCCCAUGUUUCGUAAAGAGAUUCUCUCUCUUUCUGUUCAAAAGCAGAGAUAUCAGCCUUAAGCUU